UAGAAUAUGGUGUAAUGGUAGCACGAAGAAUUUUGAAUUCUUAGAUUUAGGUUCAAUUCCUAUUGUUCUAG
Molecule: transfer RNA, 71 nt
Filed under: Hylomyscus aeta (Beaded wood mouse)
Lineage: Eukaryota; Metazoa; Chordata; Mammalia; Rodentia; Muridae
Description: tRNA-Gln
Rfam family: tRNA
About the family: Transfer RNA (tRNA) molecules are approximately 80 nucleotides in length. Their secondary structure includes four short double-helical elements and three loops (D, anti-codon, and T loops).
Source: RNAcentral